RNAcentral lists this ribosomal RNA (253 nucleotides) under uncultured bacterium. RNAcentral describes it as "partial 16S ribosomal RNA". It matches the Rfam family "Bacterial small subunit ribosomal RNA", at positions 524 to 776 of the family's 1533-position model. The record is from RNAcentral.
UACAGAGGAUGCAAGCGUUAUCCGGAAUGAUUGGGCGUAAAGCGUCCGUAGGUGGUUUGUCAAGUCCGUGGUUAAAGCGCGAAGCUCAACUUCGUAAGGGCCAAGGAAACUGACAGACUAGAGUGAAGUAGGGGUAGAGGGAAUUCCCAGUGUAGCGGUGAAAUGCGUAGAGAUUGGGAAGAACACCGGUGGCGAAAGCGCUCUACUGGACUUAGACUGACACUGAGGGACGAAAGCUAGGGGAGCAAAUGGG